UUUUGAUACUAGUACUAAGGCUAUUGAUGUGGAAAUCGACAUUCCUCGUGUAUGCAAUAUGUAUCGCAAAUUCUUGCAAGAGCAAUGCAUAGACAAAAAGGGAACUUACAAAGAGUGCGCGAUGUACCGCAGGCGUCUUGCGAAGUACUCGUGUAAGGUUGAGGAUGCUAAACGAGACUUCUGCAAUAGUGUUCCCUUUGAAGGUUCAUGCAAAUAGUUUCUGAGAAGAAUGAACUGAUAAAUUGCCAGAGUGUAGAAACACAGACAACCAUGGGGAUGGCACUUUAGAGUUUAAAAGCUCAACCUUCUCCCUUUCUUUAAAAGCUCAAACUCUAUGUUGUCUGAUUGUUAUUUUUUAUGUUCUUUCUAUUUAAAAAGUUAAUUUUGUUUAUAGAUUUGAAUGAAAUACAUAUCCAUAAUUUUAAAUAAAUUGGUCCAAUUAUGAGUAGAAAAUGGGCAUCUAGUAAUAAAUUUUAUUUGGUAGAA
Molecule: long non-coding RNA, 486 nt
Organism: Cornus florida
Lineage: Eukaryota; Viridiplantae; Streptophyta; Magnoliopsida; Cornales; Cornaceae
Exons: 2
Source: RefSeq, a predicted model, not a curated record